CAACCCUCGACCCCUCCUCGCGGGGGUCGGCGUUGGGGGACGGCAGCACGCCGCCCCCGAAAUACAGUGGCGGCCCGUCCGCGGCGACCUCUGCGCAGUCACACCACUCGCACCGGGACCCCGACGCGGCCACGCCGUAAAACACCCAACUUCUGAACG
Molecule: unclassified non-coding RNA, 159 nt
Filed under: uncultured Cordyceps
Lineage: Eukaryota; Fungi; Ascomycota; Sordariomycetes; Hypocreales; Cordycipitaceae
Description: sequence contains ITS2
Source: RNAcentral